GUCCACGCUGUAAACGAUGUCAACUAGCUGUUGGAUAUAUGAAUAUAUUUAGUGGCGAAGCAAACGCGAUAAGUUGACCGCCUGGGGGAGUACGGUCGCAAGAUUAAAACUCAAAGGAAUUGACGGGGGCCCCGCACAAGCGGUGGAGCAUGUGGUUUAAUUCGAUGCAACGCGAAGAACCUUACCUACCCUUGACAUACAGUGGAUUUUGCAGAGAUGCAUUAGUGCCUUCGGGAACACUGAUACAGGUGCUGCAUGGCUGUCGU
Molecule: ribosomal RNA, 266 nt
Filed under: uncultured bacterium
Lineage: Bacteria
Description: partial 16S ribosomal RNA
Rfam family: Bacterial small subunit ribosomal RNA
Source: RNAcentral